RNAcentral lists this ribosomal RNA (164 nucleotides) under uncultured bacterium. RNAcentral's name for it is "partial 16S rRNA". It matches the Rfam family "Bacterial small subunit ribosomal RNA", at positions 355 to 511 of the family's 1533-position model. The record is from RNAcentral.
UAGGGAAUCUUCCACAAUGGACGCAAGUCUGAUGGAGCAACACCGCGUGAGUGAAGAAGGGUUUCGGCUCGUAAAGCUCUGUUGUUAAAGAAGAACGUGGGUAAGAGUAACUGUUUACCCAGUGACGGUAUUUAACCAGAAAGCCACGGCUAACUACGUGCCAA